Molecule: ribosomal RNA, 263 nt
Filed under: uncultured bacterium
Lineage: Bacteria
Description: partial 16S ribosomal RNA
Rfam family: Bacterial small subunit ribosomal RNA
Source: RNAcentral
UCCUACGGGGGGCAGCAGUGGGGAAUAUUGCACAAUGGGGGAAACCCUGAUGCAGCGACGCCGCGUGAGUGAAGAAGUAUUUCGGUAUGUAAAGCUCUAUCAGCAGGGAAGAAAAUGACGGUACCUGACUAAGAAGCCCCGGCUAACUACGUGCCAGCAGCCGCGGUAAUACGUAGGGGGCAAGCGUUAUCCGGAUUUACUGGGUGUAAAGGGAGCGUAGGCGGCAAGGUAAGCCAGAAGUGAAAGCCCGCGGCUCAACUGCG